AGCACAAAGAAGCAUCCAUCUUAAUCUGUGGCACAUGGUCAUCCAAGGACAAACCUACAUCCCACACACAGAGCAUUUCUGCCAUUUCUAUCACCUUGAUAAGCUAUUCAAGAACAGUCAUCUGCCAUAGGUUGUCUUUUACCUAAACAUACUUACGCAGCUAGGAGAAUGGCUGCUGUUCCCACAAGUUGCAAUUUUCCUCUGAGGACCGACAUGCAAGAAAGAAAUCUGUCCAAGUAGUUCACAGCAAGGCCUUUCAUCAUUUUAGAUGCUCUCAUGAAGAUACCUUCAGAAUUGCCAAUGUGCUUCCUAGAAUGGGUUGAUGGCCUAGUGUUUUAGUUGUGAUCUGAUCAACAUAGAAAAAAGAGGAAUGAUGACUUCUCUUGAUCCUGACAGGAUGCUUCUUUAUGUAUAUUUGGAAAUCUAGGAUUUCAUUUGCUUUUUUUGAAGCUCCCUCAUAUAAUUGGUUCAUAUUUAGCUUGUGACC
This is a long non-coding RNA of Ahaetulla prasina, 487 nucleotides long. RefSeq lists it as uncharacterized. The transcript has 3 exons. NCBI's taxonomy places the organism in Eukaryota, Metazoa, Chordata, Lepidosauria, Squamata, Colubridae. The record is from RefSeq and is a predicted model, not a curated record.